ACUCAAAUGAAUUGACGGGGGCCCGCACAAGCGGUGGAGCAUGUGGUUUAAUACGUCACUAACCGUAGAACCUUACCAGGGCUUGACAUCUGCUGACCGGCGGUGAAAGCCGUUUUUUCUCCCACAAGGAGAACAGCAAGACAGGUGUUGCAUGGCUGUCGUCAGCUCGUGUCGUGAGAUGUUGGGUUAAGUCCCGCAACGAGCGCAACCCUCAUUCGAUGUUGCCAUCAUUCAGUUGGGCACUCUUCGAAAACUGCCCAUGUAAGUGGGAGGAAGGUGGGGAUGACGUCAAGUCAGCAUGGCCCUUACGCCCUGGGCUACACACAUGCUACAAUGGCAGCUAACAGAGGGACGCAAGACCGCGAGGUGGAGCAAAUCUCACAAACGCUGUCUCAGUUCGGAUUGUAGUCUGCAACUCGACUACAUGAAGUCGGAAUCGCUAGUAACCGCAGGUCAGCUAAACUGCGGUGAAUACGUUCCCGGGCCUUGUACACACCGCCCGU
Molecule: ribosomal RNA, 503 nt
Filed under: uncultured bacterium
Lineage: Bacteria
Description: partial 16S ribosomal RNA
Rfam family: Bacterial small subunit ribosomal RNA
Source: RNAcentral